RNAcentral lists this ribosomal RNA (465 nucleotides) under Vreelandella stevensii. RNAcentral's name for it is "partial 16S ribosomal RNA". It matches the Rfam family "Bacterial small subunit ribosomal RNA", at positions 338 to 795 of the family's 1533-position model. The record is from RNAcentral. Lineage: Bacteria; Pseudomonadati; Pseudomonadota; Gammaproteobacteria; Oceanospirillales; Halomonadaceae.
CCUACGGGAGGCAGCAGUGGGGAAUAUUGGACAAUGGGGGGAACCCUGAUCCAGCCAUGCCGCGUGUGUGAAGAAGGCCCUCGGGUUGUAAAGCACUUUCAGUGAGGAAGAACGCCUGGUGGUUAAUACCCAUCAGGAAAGACAUCACUCACAGAAGAAGCACCGGCUAACUCCGUGCCAGCAGCCGCGGUAAUACGGAGGGUGCGAGCGUUAAUCGGAAUUACUGGGCGUAAAGCGCGCGUAGGUGGCUUGAUAAGCCGGUUGUGAAAGCCCCGGGCUCAACCUGGGAACGGCAUCCGGAACUGUCAAGCUAGAGUGCAGGAGAGGAAGGUAGAAUUCCCGGUGUAGCGGUGAAAUGCGUAGAGAUCGGGAGGAAUACCAGUGGCGAAGGCGGCCUUCUGGACUGACACUGACACUGAGGUGCGAAAGCGUGGGUAGCAAACAGGAUUAGAUAUCCCAGUAGUC